RNAcentral lists this long non-coding RNA (1210 nucleotides) under Felis catus (domestic cat). RNAcentral's name for it is "lncRNA (ENSFCAG00000050517.1)". The record is from RNAcentral. Lineage: Eukaryota; Metazoa; Chordata; Mammalia; Carnivora; Felidae.
AUGUUCCUUACAGUUCAGUCAGCAAUGGAAUUGUGGGGCAGAAGAUGGAUGGCUGCAGGGUUCCUGCUUCUUGAGAAGUUAAAGAUUGGGAAACCAUUGUUUAAUUGCCUCAUUCAUCAGAUGUCACCGCCUUAUCUGAACUCCCAUGCAGAUCUCCACAUAGCACAGCAGAAAAGACAACAGGCUGGAAGGCAGAUAGAUCUUGAUUAAAUCUUGGUCGAUUUCUUAACCUCUCUGAGCCUCAACUCUCUAUUUGGGAAAUACAAACUCUUUUAUAGGAUUUCAGGGAAUAUUAAAUGUGAUAGUUGCAUGAAAUGUGCCCAAAGUGCCUAACUUACAUAUGCCAACCAUCCUUUGCCAGUUCCACACACCUGCUUUCUUUUUCCAGUUUCCAGAGAUCUGUCGUUCCUACAUUUUAAUCAGAGAAUUCUUCAGAAAGGCAUGCCCUAGUCAUGAAUUUUUUCACAGGUACUGAUCAGAAGCCUUGGCACUUGCACUGUUUUGCACCAAAUGUAUUCAUAAAGGCAUUGGGUCUUAUAAAACAAGGAUGAAUUAUAUUAGAUGUCCAUGUCUUCAAGUCAGACAGUAGAGCAAGUGGGAACCAAUGAUUUCAGCUGUUUAGAAGCAAAGAUGGUUUUGUAUGUGUCAGAGGGUCUCAAACCUGGGACUGUCUGGUGGAUACGGACAAAUAGGCUAAGUGUCCACAAGUGGUUAACAGGUACUCAAUAUUUAUUCAUUUAUUCCCUCGAAAGUGUAUCCUAAAACAUUCAAAUGACAGCUAAAAUUUAGUCGUGGCUUAUGCCAGAAUGCCGGUGACCUAGGAAAGUGACCCUGGUGGUCACCUACAUGUUGCUAUGUGUGUGCCCUCCAUCAAGUGUCUUAGGUCCUAACACCAUCCCCUUCUGGUUGCUACAUUCCAUGAGGGCAGGGAGCUCAUUUACUGGUGCACUGAGGGUACUUGUAAAUGUAGAUGUUGGAUGUUGCUGAUGGAGGGAUGGAUCGUCCCAACUUCUUCAAAGAGGAGAUGCUAUAGAAAGGAGACUCCCAGGGUGUAAGACACCAGGGGUGUAAAAAUAAGUGCCACUUCCCUUUGGAUUUUUGGCAGAAACUUUCCCUCUCAAAUUACUUAAGCACACACGUAAAAAGAAAAACUGGGUAAAGGAAGUGAGCUUCUUGGGUGACAUCAGUCCUGGCCAUAGUCUACCACAUU